CAGUCGCCACGGUAAUACGAAGGGUGCAAGCGUUACUCGGAAUUACUGGGCGUAAAGCGUGCGUAGGUGGUGGUUUAAGUCCGUUGUGAAAGCCCUGGGCUCAACCUGGGAAUUGCAGUGGAUACUGGGUCACUAGAGUGUGGUAGAGGAUAGUGGAAUUUCCGGUGUAGCAGUGAAAUGCGUAGAGAUCGGAAGGAACAUCUGUGGCGAAGGCGACUAUCUGGGCCAACACUGACACUGAGAGACGAAAGCUAGGGGAGCAAAUGGGAUUAGAUACCCGCGUAGUCCCUGUCUCUUAUAC
This 301-nucleotide ribosomal RNA is filed under the name uncultured bacterium. RNAcentral's name for it is "partial 16S ribosomal RNA". It matches the Rfam family "Bacterial small subunit ribosomal RNA", at positions 509 to 807 of the family's 1533-position model. The record is from RNAcentral.